AGAGUUUGAUCCUGGCUCAGGAUGCAUGCUAGCGACAGGCUUAACACAUGCAAGUCGAGGGGCAGCGGAGGCGAGUGCUUGCACUUGCCAGACGGCGACCGGCGCACGGGUGAGUAACACGUAUGCGACCUGCCCGUAGCAGGGGGAUAAGCGGAAGAAAUUCCGUCUAAUACCGCGUAAUAUCUUUCGGGGGCAUCCCUGAGGGAUUAAAGGAAGUGAUUCCGGCUACGGAUGGGCAUGCGGCGCAUUAGCUAGUCGGCGGGGUAACGGCCCACCGAGGCGACGAUGCGUAGGGGUUCUGAGAGGAAGGUCCCCCACACUGGUACUGAGACACGGACCAGACUCCUACGGGAGGCAGCAGUGAGGAAUAUUGGUCAAUGGGCGAGAGCCUGAACCAGCCAAGUCGCGUGAGGGAAGACGGUCCUAUGGAUUGUAAACCUCUUUUGUCGGGGAGCAAAAAGGCCUCGUGAGGCCACAAGUGAGAGUACCCGAAGAAAAAGCAUCGGCUAACUCCGUGCCAGCAGCCGCGGUAAUACGGAGGAUGCGAGCGUUAUCCGGAUUUAUUGGGUUUAAAGGGUGCGUAGGCGGACUGGAAAGUCAGCGGUAAAAUCGAGAGGCUCAACCUCUUUCCGCCGUUGAAACUGUCGGUCUUGAGUGGGCGAGAAGUAUGCGGAAUGCGUGGUGUAGCGGUGAAAUGCAUAGAUAUCACGCAGAACUCCGAUUGCGAAGGCAGCAUACCGGCGCCCGACUGACGCUGAGGCACGAAAGCGUGGGUAUCGAACAGGAUUAGAUACCCUGGUAGUCCACGCAGUAAACGAUGAAUACUAAUUGUCCGGUCAGAAUGAUGACUGGGUGAUACAGCGAAAGCGUUAAGUAUUCCACCUGGGGAGUACGCCGGCAACGGUGAAACUCAAAGGAAUUGACGGGGGCCCGCACAAGCGGAGGAACAUGUGGUUUAAUUCGAUGAUACGCGAGGAACCUUACCCGGGCUCAAACGUAGAAUGACAGACGGUGAAAGCCGUUCUCCCUUCGGGGCAGUCUACGAGGUGCUGCAUGGUUGUCGUCAGCUCGUGCCGUGAGGUGUCGGCUUAAGUGCCAUAACGAGCGCAACCCCCAUCUACAGUUGCUAACAGGUAAAGCUGAGGACUCUGUGGAGACUGCCGGCGCAAGCUGUGAGGAAGGCGGGGAUGACGUCAAAUCAGCACGGCCCUUACGUCCGGGGCGACACACGUGUUACAAUGGCAGGUACAGCGGGAAGCCAUAUGGCGACAUAGAGCGGAACCCGAAAACCUGUCUCAGUUCGGAUUGGAGUCUGCAACUCGACUCCAUGAAGCUGGAUUCGCUAGUAACCGCGCAUCAGCCACGGCGCGGUGAAUACGUUCCCGGGCCUUGCACACACCGCCCGUCA
RNAcentral lists this ribosomal RNA (1408 nucleotides) under uncultured bacterium. RNAcentral's name for it is "16S ribosomal RNA". It matches the Rfam family "Bacterial small subunit ribosomal RNA". The record is from RNAcentral.